Non-coding RNA from Herpailurus yagouaroundi (jaguarundi), 2289 nucleotides. NCBI's taxonomy places the organism in Eukaryota, Metazoa, Chordata, Mammalia, Carnivora, Felidae. The record is from the annotation of a RefSeq genome assembly.
AGCCCAACGUGGGGCUCGAACUCACCAGCCAGGAGAUCAUGACCUGAGCCGAAGUCGGUCGCCUAACCGACUGAGCCACCCAGGCACCCCACGGCCAAUCGUUAUUAAUGGGGGAAAGGGAUCAGGAAUAAGUAAGUAAACAUGUCAGGGCUAGCACUGAGAAGCCAAAUCUAGCAGCGUAAGGGGAUGGGGAGUGACCCAGGGGAGAGGUCAGGGCAUUGGUAGCAUUCAGCUCCCCCCCCCCCCCAACCCCGGGGGCUCCUAGAGGAUUCUGGGCAAGAGAAGCCCAGCCACGCUGUGCCAGCCCCGGGGUGGGGGGGAGGGAGGGGGGAGCUGGGUUUCCAAGUCUGUGCACUUACUUGGUUUUAUUCGGUCAUGGAUGUCCCAGCUCGCUUUACCAGCCAACCCGUUCUGUAGACCCAGGAGCCACCAUGGGCUGGCCACAGCAGGCUGUCAGUCACAUCUGCUUAGCACGGAGGAGGCUCUCACCACAUCACAGGGAGCUGUGUGGCUCCCAGCUCGGGGUGAGGGUGGGGGGAGCCCAGCCCCUUCUGGGUCCCCUUCGUGGGGCCUUGGGGACAGUCAGCACCCAAGCCAGAGGCAACAGACGCCUCCCCAGCCACACACCCCAGGCCUGAGGGUUUGGGGUUUGGAAGGAGGCCUGGGUCACAGUGACCACUUCUGUCCCUGUGGCUCAAGCCACUGCUUCAGGCCCAGGGUGGGAGAGUGUCCAGGAAGCGUGUGGCCUGCCUUCGGCUGUCGGGAGACCAGGCAGUGGCUCCUGGGCUCAUGCAGAGCCUCAUCCGGGGUUGGUGCACAGCACAACCAGGGACCCGGAGCCUCCUCACCAUGGCUGCUAAGUGUGGGCAGGUCCUGACCUCCGUCCUGCUUGCCCUCCUGCUGGGACUCACAGCCGGGCGGCCCUUCAUCUCUCUGACGGGCCCAUCUCAGAGGACGACCCCGGGAAACCCAGUGCCUUUCAACUGUACGGCCGGCCCCUUCAGCUCCUGGGAUUUCAGUGUCACCUGGAUGAAGGGCAGCGAUGAGCAUCCAGCCUCAGCCCAGCACCUGGUGACCAACAACCAAGGCAACUACUUCGUUACCAGUAAGGUGUGGGUGACACUGACCCUCCAGGAUCUCUUACUGGAGAUCACCUGCGAAGUCACCCACAGGGCGCUGGGAGAGCCUCUGCGAAAGACCAUGAACCUCUCCCAAGUGCUCCAAGUUGUCCCCACCCUGAAGAUCACCACCAAGACCUCCGGGACGUACAUCCACGUGCAACAGAGAGUGAAUCUCACCUGCCACGCGAGCCACUUCUACCCCUCCCACCUACGUCUCACCUGGAUGGAGAACAGACACCAGGUCCACACGGUGGAGUCCCCACAGGUCACGAGAAACCCAGAUGGCACCUACUCUCUGAAGCACACGUGGCAGGCGGAGGCCACGCUGGACGGGAGCGAGUUUGCUUGCUGGGUGGUCCAGGCUGAGCAGCCGCCCGUCCGGGCCAACAUCACCCUGCGGGCCCAGGCACCCAGGCUGGGGAAAGGCCGGAGCAUCUACUCCUACUCCUUGCAAGGCCCCCUUCAGCGAUCUGAGCCGGGGAAGAACAUCCAGCUGACCUACGUGUCCUCCGGAUUCCCGUCACGCCACAUUACCGUGACCUGGUUUAAAAAGAACCACGAGCUCCCAAAGACGCAGACCUACGUCCACCCCAGUGGGGACACACACAAUGUGACCAGCCGAGUGCUCGUCCUGCUGCAAGCGGACGAUGUGCUCUCCUUCGUCCAAUGCCACGUCAGUCAUAAAUCCACACUGGUCUUCCAGAAAGCCAUCAACCUGGACCAGUACCUCCGUGUUCCCCCUACAGUGACAGUGUCCCAGUCUUCACACUCCUCAGACUUGGUGGCUGUCACCUGCCGCGUGCAGAGAUUCUAUCCACAGAGUGUGCAUCUCACCUGGACGGAGAACUGCCAUACGAUCAAGGGAGCUGAGCAGCUCACAUCCAAGCAGAGUAGCGAUGGGACCUACACCCUGGAAGGCUUGCAUUUGGUGAACGUGUCAGGGCCGGGGUCUGAACAGGUGCUCACCUGUAAGGUGCAGCACAAGACCCAACCUCCCAUCCAGGCCAGCCUCAUACUGUCUACGGAAGCACACGACACAUACAAGCCCAUCAGAAGCUCAGGUCCUGAGAUGCCUGUCCUCAUCUUUGUGGCAUUCCUUCUGGGCUUCAAGGUGCUGCUGGCGAUGAGUUUCAUAGUCACCUACAUCUGCGGGUGGCGGAGCCGGUAA